Molecule: long non-coding RNA, 2013 nt
Filed under: Canis lupus familiaris (dog)
Lineage: Eukaryota; Metazoa; Chordata; Mammalia; Carnivora; Canidae
Description: lncRNA (ENSCAFG00000054175.1)
Source: RNAcentral
UAGGUCUAUGUCCUAAGAACACUCCUCAGCAAACUUUGUGUGUGCUACUCUCCAUCACAGGUUCUGUUUCCAGGGAACCCAGUCUAAGACAAUGCUGGCUUCUGAAUCAACAAAUGUGAUGAGGUGGGACUCUGAUGAUAAAUUAGGAUAAAUUUUCAUGCCCUAUUAUGGAACCAGGAUGGGAUCAGUCUCUCCCAAAGCACCUUGGCAGAGGCAGAGAAGAUGAAGACUGGAGCAAAACUUUUAAUUGUUAAUUUAAAAAAUGGGAAGAAUCAUAUUGAGAAGGAAAUGAUACAGAUUUUUUUAUCUUUCAAGAGAGCCAGAAGCAGUUUAUUUAAAAAAAAAGUCUCAUGAUGUUUUAACAUUGGAAACUAAAUGAGAUAUUUUUAAAUGCCAUGAAUUGCUAAUAAGACAUGGCCCAAUACUGGCCUGCAUUUCAGUAGUUUGCAACUGUGGCCAGAAAGAACACAGGUAUAGUUUGUAGCUCCAGAGGGCAAAGCUAGGACUAAUACCUAUAUGAAAUCAAGAUUUCAGCUCAACCUAAUGAAUAGUUUCCUAGUGAUUUGAGCAAUAUAAAGAUGGAAUGAAGCAUGUCACUAGAAGGUGAGUUCCUUGGCACCAAGAUUCAUUUUUUAUUCUUCUUAGAAUUUGAACUAUAUGAUCUUUGAGAUCCUGUUCAUUGAUAUCCAUAUAAAGUGCCCUAUCUUCACAAAAUAUCAUUGAUACACCCUCAUCCAGAUAUCAACAACAAACAACAUUGGGAUAGCACCAGUAUUACUACUGAACCAUGAUUCAAAUCUCCUUCUCCAGGAAUACUCCACUUAAUCCAUCACUUCUGGAUAUUCACUUAAGCAUCAAAGGGAAAAAGGUAUCUUGUCUUAGAUAUAAAGAUGCCCCUAGUAAAUCCUUUACAGAUAUCACAUCAUGAUAACCACUGUUCCUUAGAAAUUAGUAUUAUAUUCUAGUAUGUCAGAGCCAGAAGCAGAUCAUGCAGUCCUGCUCCUUCAUUCAACAGAAGACACAGAGAGGGGAAAAAAACUUAAAUUACACAGUAAAAACAGGACCAGAAUUCAGAUCUUUUUACUCUUGGAGCCGAGUUCUUCCCACUGCAACCCAAGCAAUCUAUUUUUCUCAUUAGGCUGAAAUAGUUCCCUAUCAUCCAUUUAUCCCAGAGUGACAGGACUUGCGGGCUAAUGGACUUCAAGGUUCUAGGAGGGAGCUAGGCUCUGGCAUCCAUCCUUUUCAGCAGCCUAGAGCACCAAACCCUUUACAGAGCUAGUUUCUUUGAUCAUGUUAAGGGGUUACUUGUUUUAAAAGUAUUGUGUUCACAUGGUUCCAAAUUCAGUGUUCUUUUCACAAUCUCACCAUGCCUUGAAAAAAACGCCACAGUGUGUGGUAAGAAUUUAGCUACAAGGAGCAGGACUUAAGGUACACUGGGCCUAGAAGGUGAGCUCGGCCACUGAACCAGGGCUCCUUAAAUUCCCUAACAGGACAGAGCCUGCAGAGGGACCAAUUGGCCCAAGUUGUAAAGAGAAGAAGGACUCAACCGGCUGAUGACCACUUUGAAUUGGAUUUGUCUCAUCCUGCUCCUUCAUCCCAUACAUCUACUCUGACACAAAGCCUUGCUGAAUCUUCCUGUGAAAUAUUUAUCCUGCCCAUCCUUCCCUCUCUCCCCUCACGGCAAAAAAAAAAACCUGAUCCAGACUUGAGCUACCUCAUGUGCAGGUUAUAGUCACAGAUUUUUAACUGACCUCCUCCAGGUGUAGAAAUAGCCUUAACCUAAAUGAACAUGUAUCACAUCUGGUUUUAAUUUAUAGCAUGUGUGUAAAUGGUGCUGCUCUUUUAAAAAGCCUUGCUGUUUACUCUUUAACUCCAAGUAGUGGGAAAAAAAAACACUGUAAGUGCCACGCAAAGACUUGAUCCAGCACAGGAACAAGGCUGGUCACCGGAAAGAAGAAACUUGCUCAGAAAAUGGAUCAACGAGUUGCAUUAUAUUUAUCCAUUAGUAUACUA